Molecule: ribosomal RNA, 466 nt
Filed under: uncultured bacterium
Lineage: Bacteria
Description: partial 16S ribosomal RNA
Rfam family: Bacterial small subunit ribosomal RNA
Source: RNAcentral
GACGAACGCUGGCGGCGUGCUUAACACAUGCAAGUCGAACGGAAAGGCCCUGCUUUUGUGGGGUGCUCGAGUGGCGAACGGGUGAGUAACACGUGAGUAACCUGCCCUUGACUUUGGGAUAACUUCAGGAAACUGGGGCUAAUACCGGAUAGGAGCUCCUGCUGCAUGGUGGGGGUUGGAAAGUUUCGGCGGUUGGGGAUGGACUCGCGGCUUAUCAGCUUGUUGGUGGGGUAGUGGCUUACCAAGGCUUUGACGGGUAGCCGGCCUGAGAGGGUGACCGGCCACAUUGGGACGGAGAUACGGCCCAGACUCCUACGGGAGGCAGCAGUGGGGAAUAUUGCACAAUGGGCGGAAGCCUGAUGCAGCAACGCCGCGUGCGGGAUGACGGCCUUCGGGUUGUAAACCGCUUUCGCCUGUGACGAAGCGUGAGGGACGGUAAUGGGUAAAGAAGCACCGGCUAACUACG